RNAcentral lists this ribosomal RNA (494 nucleotides) under uncultured bacterium. RNAcentral describes it as "partial 16S ribosomal RNA". It matches the Rfam family "Bacterial small subunit ribosomal RNA", at positions 28 to 507 of the family's 1533-position model. The record is from RNAcentral.
GACGAACGCUGGCGGCGUGCUUAACACAUGCAAGUCGAACGGUGAAGCGCCUUCCUUUUUGGUGGGUGUGGAUGAGUGGCGAACGGGUGAGUAACACGUGAGUAACCUGCCCCCUUCUUCUGGAUAACCGCAUGAAAGUGUGGCUAAUACGGGAUAUUCUGGGUCUGUCGCAUGAUGGGUCUGGGAAAGAUAUUGUUUCGGUGGGGGAUGGGCUCGCGGCCUAUCAGCUUGUUGGUGGGGUGAUGGCCUACCAAGGCGGUGACGGGUAGCCGGCCUGGGAGGGUGGACGGUCACACUGGGACUGAGACACGGCCCAGACUCAUACGGGAGGCAGCAGUGGGGAAUAUUGCACAAUGGGCGAAAGCCUGAUGCAGCGACGCCGCGUGAGGGAUGGAGGCCUUCGGGUUGUGAACCUCUUUCGCCAGUGAAGCAGGCCUGCCUCGUUUGUGGGUGGGUUGACGGUAGCUGGAUAAGAAGCGCCGGCUAACUACGUG